ACAGUGGACGCGAGCAUCUUUGUUGUAAGUGUUUAAGAGCGUACGGUGGAUGCCUUGGCACCAGGAGCCGAUGAAGACGUAGGAGCUGCUGCGAUAAGCCUCGGGAGCUGUCAACCGAGCUGAGAUCCGAGGAUGUCCGAAUGGGGAAACCCAGCCACAGUGAUGUGUGUUACCCGCGCCUGAAUAUAUAGGGCGUGUGGAGGGAACGUGGGAAGUGUGAAACAUCUCAGUACCCACAGGAAGAGAAAACAACAUGUGAUUCCGUGAGUAAGUGGCGAGCGAAAGCGAAAGAGGCUAAACCAUGGGGUGUGUGAUAGCCGGCGGCGGCGUUGCAUUCGUUGGGGUUUGUGGUUGGGGUCCGUCUUGUCAAUUCUGCCGGAUUGGCCGACAGUGAGAAAUCAUCGUGUUAGUCGAAGUGGUCUGGAACCGGCCUGUCGUAGAGGGUGAGAGUC
Molecule: ribosomal RNA, 452 nt
Filed under: Rhodococcus (subgen. Prescottella) equi
Lineage: Bacteria; Bacillati; Actinomycetota; Actinomycetes; Mycobacteriales; Nocardiaceae
Description: Prescottella equi partial 23S ribosomal RNA
Rfam family: Bacterial large subunit ribosomal RNA
Source: RNAcentral